AUCGUCCCCCAAACUCCAUCGUGAAAGAUCUCAACACGGCCCUCGGAGUAUUCCUGGCCACCAGCCAGCCUGAUAUAACCUUCUUCAUAGGCUAAAGGAACAAAAAUUUAGUGUAAUCGUUUCGUUUGGGAUUUAUGGUGAAAGAUCAUGUACACUGUAAAAUGUAAUAUUGUGUUUAAUUAAAAAUAUUAAAUAGGCUGAACUCAAUUUUUAUCAAUUUGUUAUUAGAACUCAAUUUAAAUAAGUUACCAGUACUUUUUAUGCAAAAAUGCUGAUAAACUCGAUUAAUUUGAGUUGUCCUAACUUAGAAAAACUAAGUAAGCUGGAAGUUUUGCUUCUCAGGGCGGAAGGAUGAAAGAUGUUUUGAAAAUGCCACGUGACUGCCGUUCUCCUCCCUCCCGGAUCAGUCCGCAUGUUCAUGGCACCAGCAUUUGUUAUGGAAUAUAUUGAGCAAACCUGGAGAUAUUAUUGUUGUCAUUGCUGUGGAUCUUUACUGACUUGGCUCGGGACCAGCACUCCUGUUGUUGGACAGAAAGACAUCAACUCAGUGGUAAGUAUUUUUGGUUUUCCAAUAUAUUAGCAACUGUCAGUGACAUUUAUAUUAAUCAGGCUGAACUUUAAUCAUACUUUAGAUCAGCCUGUCUUACUUAUUGUUUUAUUUGUGCUUUGGUUUGGGGAAGUUGUUUCUUUACUGAUCUUUUCCUGUCUUCUGUUAUUAGACUUGAGAUAUGACUGCACUAUGCUGUUGCUGUGACUCCAGUUAAUUCUACAAGACAUGCUGUGACACCAGGAGAGAUGAGUCCUCCGUCACAGAUGGUGUGGUCAGUGAAGAUGGUCGCCUGCAGGUUCAAGCUCAUUGCAUCUCCAACCCACAUCCACUGCGACUGUACUUAAGGGAAGUUAAAGACUUUCUUCUGCACUUACAUUUGGAUCACCUCGAUCCAUGAUAGUCAUUCAGGCAGUAAUGCCUGGACUGGAAACAAGCCAUCCUUAAAAUAUUACAACAUUCCAGCUCCUGUGUUGGAAUGAAAAACGAAUGUGUUGUUUAAAUUAGAGACUGCACUUGUGACAGAACAAUAAAUAUUUUAUGUUGAUUAUAUAAAUAAUGUAAGUACAAAACAAACUUGUGGUAGGCCUAAACUUAUUUUCAGAAUAAUUACAUCUAAGACUUUGUUUCAUUGUAAGAUUAUAACAGUGAUGGCAAUAUCAUUUUUAUUCAGCAGAACAGUGUCCAGUAUGUUGGCUGUU
Long non-coding RNA from Pelmatolapia mariae (spotted tilapia), 1248 nucleotides. RefSeq lists it as uncharacterized. NCBI's taxonomy places the organism in Eukaryota, Metazoa, Chordata, Actinopteri, Cichliformes, Cichlidae. The transcript is spliced from 3 exons. The record is from RefSeq and is a predicted model, not a curated record.